Molecule: non-coding RNA, 88 nt
Organism: Saccharomycodes ludwigii
Lineage: Eukaryota; Fungi; Ascomycota; Saccharomycetes; Saccharomycodales; Saccharomycodaceae
Source: the annotation of a RefSeq genome assembly
GGGUGUAUGGCCGAGUGGUUAAGGCGCUUGCUUCAGGAAUGCAAGUCUGUUAAGUUAACAGGCGCGAGUUCGAACCUCGCUGCAUCCA